GGGCGGCAAGGGGGAGGGAUCUUCCNUAGAGCGGCGGAUUGGUGAGUAANGCGUGGGUGACUUACCCCGAGGGUUGGGAUAGCNUCUAGAAAUAGGGGGUAAUACCGGAUACGGUUGUUUCANGACGGUGGGACAAAGAAAGGAGNUCCGGNUCCGCCCGGGGAUGGGCCCGCGUCCCAUUAGCUAGUUGGGGGGGUAAGAGCCGACCAAGGCGAUGAUGGGUAGCCGGCCUGAGAGGGUGAACGGCCACACUGGGACUGAGAUACGGCCCAGANUCCUACGGGAGGCAGCAGCUAAGAAUAUUCCGCAAUGGGCGAAAGCCUGACGGAGCGACGCCGCGUGUACGAGGAAGGCCGAAAGGUUGUAAAGUACUUUUNCCGCCGGAGAAUAAGCGGGGGAGGGAAUGCCCCCGUGAUGACGGUAGGCGGGGAAUGNNGCCCCGGCUA
RNAcentral lists this ribosomal RNA (446 nucleotides) under uncultured Treponema clone CFS143p. RNAcentral's name for it is "partial 16S small subunit ribosomal RNA". It matches the Rfam family "Bacterial small subunit ribosomal RNA", at positions 64 to 499 of the family's 1533-position model. Lineage: Bacteria; Pseudomonadati; Spirochaetota; Spirochaetia; Treponematales; Treponemataceae. The record is from RNAcentral.